This is a long non-coding RNA of Syzygium oleosum, 477 nucleotides long. RefSeq lists it as uncharacterized. The record is from RefSeq and is a predicted model, not a curated record. NCBI's taxonomy places the organism in Eukaryota, Viridiplantae, Streptophyta, Magnoliopsida, Myrtales, Myrtaceae. The transcript is spliced from 2 exons.
AUUCAAUGACUAGUUGUUUUAUUAUCCAUUCUUGUGCGACCAGAGUGGGGACAGGAUUGUUGUAAAGGUGAGGAUCUCUAACUCAUCGGCCGCUCGCUUAUACUUUGAUCACUUCAUUUUCAGGCUGCCAAACAACGAGCCUUUUUUGGAAGCAAAGGCUACGGUUGUUUGGCUAGACAAGAACUAUCGUCCUAUCCGUAUACCACCAGAAAUUAGAUCUAAGUUUGUCCAAUUCGUUCGUCAUGAGGAGGCCAACUGAUGUGCAGAAGAAGUGGCGAUAGAGUACUUGGUUAAAGACCCCUCCCUUUUGCUGAGACCCCUCGUUUGAGCUCAAAAUAUGAAGACAGACAGGGAAAGGGAAAGAAAAAUGCUACGAAAAUUACUUUCAGGAUAGACAUCCACGAGGAAGAAUUUUUGCACAUGUCAAUUCAGCUCUUUCCUUCCACACGAGCAGCUCAUAGAGUUCAAUUAUGUUCG